RNAcentral lists this ribosomal RNA (126 nucleotides) under Cololejeunea dozyana. RNAcentral's name for it is "5.8S ribosomal RNA". It matches the Rfam family "5.8S ribosomal RNA", at positions 30 to 154 of the family's 154-position model. Rfam says of the family: 5.8S ribosomal RNA (5.8S rRNA) is a component of the large subunit of the eukaryotic ribosome. It is transcribed by RNA polymerase I as part of the 45S precursor that also contains 18S and 28S rRNA. Lineage: Eukaryota; Viridiplantae; Streptophyta; Jungermanniopsida; Porellales; Lejeuneaceae. The record is from RNAcentral.
GCAACGAUGAAGAACGCAGCGAAAUGCGAUACCUAGUGUGAAUUGCAGAAUUCCGUGAAUCAUCGAGUUUUUGAACGCAAGUUGCGCCCGAGGCUCGUCUGAGGGCAUGCCUGCCUGAGCGUCCGC